UAAAAUGAGAGUUUGAUCCUGGCUCAGGACGAACGCUGGCGGCGUGCCUAAUACAUGCAAGUCGAGCGAGCGGAACUAACAGAUUUACUUCGGUAAUGACGUUAGGAAAGCGAGCGGCGGAUGGGUGAGUAACACGUGGGGAACCUGCCCCAUAGUCUGGGAUACCACUUGGAAACAGGUGCUAAUACCGGAUAAGAAAGCAGAUCGCAUGAUCAGCUUUUAAAAGGCGGCGUAAGCUGUCGCUAUGGGAUGGCCCCGCGGUGCAUUAGCUAGUUGGUAAGGUAAAGGCUUACCAAGGCGAUGAUGCAUAGCCGAGUUGAGAGACUGAUCGGCCACAUUGGGACUGAGACACGGCCCAAACUCCUACGGGAGGCAGCAGUAGGGAAUCUUCCACAAUGGACGCAAGUCUGAUGGAGCAACGCCGCGUGAGUGAAGAAGGUUUUCGGAUCGUAAAGCUCUGUUGUUGGUGAAGAAGGAUAGAGGUAGUAACUGGCCUUUAUUUGACGGUAAUCAACCAGAAAGUCACGGCUAACUACGUGCCAGCAGCCGCGGUAAUACGUAGGUGGCAAGCGUUGUCCGAAUUUAUUGGGCGUAAAGCGAGCGCAGGCGGAAGAAUAAGUCUGAUGUGAAAGCCCUCGGCUUAACCGAGGAACUGCAUCGGAAACUGUUUUUCUUGAGUGCAGAAGAGGAGAGUGGAACUCCAUGUGUAGCGGUGGAAUGCGUAGAUAUAUGGAAGAACACCAGUGGCGAAGGCGGCUCUCUGGUCUGCAACUGACGCUGAGGCUCGAAAGCAUGGGUAGUGAACAGGAUUAGAUACCCUGGUAGUCCAUGCCGUAAACGAUGAGUGCUAAGUGUUGGGAGGUUUCCGCCUCUCAGUGCUGCAGCUAACGCAUUAAGCACUCCGCCUGGGGAGUACGACCGCAAGGUUGAAACUCAAAGGAAUUGACGGGGGCCCGCACAAGCGGUGGAGCAUGUGGUUUAAUUCGAAGCAACGCGAAGAACCUUACCAGGUCUUGACAUCUAGUGCCAUUUGUAGAGAUACAAAGUUCCCUUCGGGGACGCUAAGACAGGUGGUGCAUGGCUGUCGUCAGCUCGUGUCGUGAGAUGUUGGGUUAAGUCCCGCAACGAGCGCAACCCUUGUUAUUAGUUGCCAGCAUUAAGUUGGGCACUCUAAUGAGACUGCCGGUGACAAACCGGAGGAAGGUGGGGAUGACGUCAAGUCAUCAUGCCCCUUAUGACCUGGGCUACACACGUGCUACAAUGGGCAGUACAACGAGAAGCGAGCCUGCGAAGGCAAGCGAAUCUCUGAAAGCUGUUCUCAGUUCGGACUGCAGUCUGCAACUCGACUGCACGAAGCUGGAAUCGCUAGUAAUCGCGGAUCAGCACGCCGCGGUGAAUACGUUCCCGGGCCUUGUACACACCGCCCGUCACACCAUGGGAGUCUGCAAUGCCCAAAGCCGGUGGCCUAACCUUCGGGAAGGAGCCGUCUAAGGCAGGGCAGAUGACUGGGGUGAAGUCGUAACAAGGUAGCCGUAGGAGAACCUGCGGCUGGAUCACCUCCUUU
This 1564-nucleotide ribosomal RNA is filed under the name Lactobacillus crispatus. RNAcentral describes it as "bacterial SSU rRNA". It matches the Rfam family "Bacterial small subunit ribosomal RNA". Lineage: Bacteria; Bacillati; Bacillota; Bacilli; Lactobacillales; Lactobacillaceae. The record is from RNAcentral.